RNAcentral lists this non-coding RNA (26 nucleotides) under Drosophila melanogaster (fruit fly). Lineage: Eukaryota; Metazoa; Arthropoda; Insecta; Diptera; Drosophilidae. The record is from RNAcentral.
GGAUCCUACGCUGCGAUGACGCCUAA